AAGGGAUUAGAUACCCCCUGUAGUCNUAGCAGUAAACGGUGCGCGCUUGGUGUAGGAGGACUCGACCCNUUCUGUGCCGGAGCUAACGCGUUAAGCGCNCCGCNUGGGGAGUACGGUCGCAAGACUAAAACUCAAAGAAAUUGACGGGGACCCGCACAAGCGGUGGAGUAUGUGGCUUAAUUCGAUGCAGCGCGAAGAACCUUACCCAGACUUGACAUGUAUUGCUAAGCACGUGAAAGCGUGUGACCCUUCGGGGACCUUACACAGGUGCUGCAUGGCCGUCGUCAGCUCGUGUCGUGAGAUGUUUGGUUAAGUCCAGCAACGAGCGCAACCCCUGUGAAUAGUUGCCAGCACGUAAUGGUGGGGACUCUAUUCAGACCGCCCGGGUCAACCGGGAGGAAGGUGGGGAUGACGUCAGGUCAGUAUGGCCCUUACGUCUGGGGCUGCACACGUACUACAAUGCCCAGUACAAUGAGAACCGAGACCGCGAGGUGGAGGAAAUCUGCAAAACUGGGCCCAGUUCGGAUUGGAGGCUGCAACUCGCCUCCAUGAAGUUGGAAUCGCUAGUAAUGGCACAUCAGCUACGGUGCCGUGAAUACGUUCCCGGGUCUUGUACACACCGCCCGUCACAUCAUGGAAGCCGGUCGCACCCGAAGUGUCUGCGUCAACAAUGGCAGGGCCCUAAGGUGUAGCUGGUAACUAGGAUGAAGUCGUAANCAAGGUAA
This 725-nucleotide ribosomal RNA is filed under the name uncultured bacterium. RNAcentral describes it as "bacterial SSU rRNA". It matches the Rfam family "Bacterial small subunit ribosomal RNA", at positions 772 to 1499 of the family's 1533-position model. The record is from RNAcentral.